GGUUUAGGUCCAAACCUGUUUUAGUUAGAGGAGCAGAGUUGGAUGGUUUACUGUUUUUAUUUAGGUUUCAUAGCUGUUUACUUUAGUUUGUGUAUUUUUUAUGUUUUCAUGUUUAAAUUGUUGUCUUUAUGAUGCUGUACAGCACUUUGAACCAUGGCUAUGUGAAAACACUAUUUAAAUAGAGGGAAGACAUUUUUGACCAAGAAGUUAUGUUAAAUGCACAUCAUUUCACCCCAUUUAGCCAGUGGCAUAAAGUACAAAAAUAUAAAUUUACUUACUGUGCCAAUAAAAAGCAUCAGAAACUUCUUGGAUAGUCUGUUAGCACAAUCAAUACCACAGCUAGCAAUAAUUCCAUGAUUAACGUCCAAAGAUGAGCACACAGAGGACACAACUAAAGCUCAAAGAGCCUAAAUUACUGAACAUCUGUAAACGCGAGUCUGAGGCUUUCCCCGGAGCUAGCCACUAGCGCUUGUUCUGACACUCAUGCUAUCUGUCAGUCAAAUGCAACUGCAACUCUCUCUAUGCAGGGUUGUGUCAGUCAUCACUGCGUCACCUACAGGUUGUGCAGAACAGCGCGGCCAGGUUCCUGACUGGGACCAGGAAACGGGACCACAUCAGUCCGGUUCUGGCCUCCCUGCACUGGCUUCCGGUUUGCUAUCGCUCACAAUUCAAAAUCCUCGUCUUUGUUUUUAAUUUCUUCCAGGUUGGUGCUCCCCCCUAUCUGGCCACACUCCUGAACAGACACUCCCCAUCACGCGCUCUGCACUCCUCUGACCAAGGCCUGCUCGCUGUCCCUUGUUCUAGGUGUCGUACUCGCGGGGACCGGGCUUUCUCAGUCCUAGCGCCGUCACUAUCGAACCAGUUGCCACCCUCAAGUUAGGCUGUCCCCAUCUCUGCCAGCCUUUAAAGAGCAAGUAACGUCUAAAUUAACUUUUUUUUGCUGAUGAACUGUAUAAAUGAGUGUCUAAUAGUGUUUUAAAUGUGUGCAUUCUUUAUUUUAGCAUUUUGGUGCAUUUUCUUUAAAAAUUAAAAAUUCUGUCUAAAAACCACAGUAAUGCGCCACCUUCAGCUGAAAACAUAGAAUUUGAGUCAUUUUGAAUAAAUUUUAGCCAAUGGCUAAAGAGUAAAGUACUACGUAAACCAGUAGAGUACUACGUAGCAGCUCCGUGCCAAAGUUAUAAAAGCAACGAGCGUCUCGGCCACGCCCUGUGGCGAGUGGGAGUUGGAUUUGCAAGCGAGUGUAGGAGGUCAGCGGUAGUUCAGCAUUAGCAUAUAGCAUUAGCAUAUCCUAGUCUUUAGCAUAGCUUUUAGUGUUAUAAAUACUUAUUUAGUGUUAGCUUGGCUGUUGUAUAUUGUAGUUUAGUUAGUGUUUGGCUGUUAGUGUAAUUGGGAAAGUAUUUCGGGUUUAGUGUUCCAUAUCGUCUUAGUAUUGGUGAGUAGGUGUAGUGUAGUAUGCUUGUGGUGACUCUGGGCAUUUUACCCGCGAUUCUGCACGCCUCCGUUUGAAGAGGGAGGCUGCCCACCGUGGCUCUUCCGCGAUUUAGAUGCAGCCCACCGACUCUGCUCCCCCACCACGGCGGGCUCCAGUCUGAGGUGAGUCAGCUAAAUAAACGUUUUAACAUCUUCUAAAGACAAUUCCCUACCUAAAUGCAAAGUCUGAGAGACGUGGUUCACUUCCUUUAGCUAGUCAGUCGGUAAUUCUGCAACAGUGUCUCUAACUAACGCUGCACUAGUUGACAGCAUUACAGCGUGAAAUCCAGCUUGUGACCCGGUUCUGUGAGGAAUUCUGUUCAGGAGGUCGCAUUUCAGGCUCUCCACAUCAUAUGUGACUGACUUUUACGUUAUAACAACGAUCACACACUAGGAAUGUUAUAAAGCGCCUAUAUAGGAGAUUCUUUUGUAUAUUAUAUGACUUUAUAAACUCCCAACAACAAUGUGCUUCUAUUUUUUUUUCAGGCUAAAUCUACCCAAGACACUGGCUGUCAGACUGAUUUAGCUGCAAGAAUGCACUUGUCCAGGCAGACGUGAAGCCUUACCUGUAGCAAAGCCAGCCAGAAUGGAGUUCACAGCCGCAGUGUGUCUGGUGACCCACGGGGACCAUGAUGAAAAUUCAUCUUCCAGAAGGUCCCAGAGCAUCCAGACCCCCUGAAAAGACCAAGAUGUAAGGUGUCUGCUGUUGAUUCCAGCUUCCACCUCAGUGACAGUGCAAGCUCAGUGAACUGUUCAAGCCUGGCUGAUCACCUGAUAACUCCUGUCAUCUGGUUAUGACAGCAUGAGGAUGUCCUCACACACCUGUAACCUAUCAGAUCAUCUGGCAGAAUAGAGAGAGAAGAGACCACACCACAUCUCCUGUUCCUGGAAAGCCUUCAGCCAUCCUUCGAUGACUGAGAACCUCCAUCAGCUCUGUCUCCUGUCUGCCUACAAUUAUUAUAAUAAAUAUUGUGUUUGACAAGUUUUUUGUGCUGCCAAAUAUCUCAUUUAGAUUCCAGUUUUGAUAUUUUAAUGGAUAUUUAUAAAUUACAUUGAAUAUCACAUUUUUGUUGCAUGUUUAACUAGCUCUAUUGUGAUUAAUUAAACUAGCACCUCACUGUUAAAAGCUCGUUCUAAUUUCAAGCAUGUUUAAGUAUUUAUGGACAUGAACAAAAACAGGAAAUAUAUAUAUUGAGAUUUAUUUAAUUAAUAUAACAAAUAAGGGGGAAAGAGUCAUCGAAAGGCACAUUCUUCUGGAAGUUCCUGAUCCUGAGGACACCAGCAGAGACCAGCUGCAGACACCAGAGGACCUAGAACCGAGAGAGCAGCUGUUAUUAGUAAAUAAAUAAAGAAAUCAGGGCAGUUUUAGUGGGCUGAACACAUUACAGAAUGAUUUUCUCAUGGGGUAUUUUCAUAACUUUAUAUGCAGCAGACUGUAACUUGAGCCCAGGGCUACCGGAGAGCUAUCCAGCAUGUUUCAGUGGAUUUUCCUGCUUUAACAGGUUAGAUUAGCUGUUAAGCAGCUCAGCUAUUUGUUGCUGAUUAAAACCAGGUGUGCUGAAGCAGAUAAACCUCUAAAACAUGCUGAAUACUAGCUUUUUAGGGCCGUGGAGACAAACCCUGCAGCUAAUCCAAUGCUAUGGCUAACGGCUACUUACCAUUCAGAGGUGAUUCUGUUGGGUCGGUUCUGGGAGUUUCAGGCAACUCACAAGCUCAAAACAAUAAGACUCAGGUCCGCUUGUCUCCUCCAAAUAGACUUGGUCCCUUUCUUCUCGAGUGUCUGUGUAAGGAGGGGGAGAAACAUCCUCCACUUCUAUCAACUGCUCAGAGUGAAGGGAGCUAGCUUCGUCUAGUUAGCCAUCGUCUUCGUCACUGCCGCGGCUCCGCCCUCUCGGUCCUCCAGGCAACGCCUACUAAUGUUGCAUUUUUUAAAAUUGAUACGUGGGUGGAGAAGGACUCCGAGGCUCAAUUGACCCGCUCUUUAAGUCGCCUAAAAACCCUCCUCCGCUUGGCGUUUCUUGAACAUGUUUGAUUUUGGCCCUCUUUUAUGUUGAUUUUAUCUCACAGUUU
Molecule: long non-coding RNA, 3540 nt
Organism: Nothobranchius furzeri (turquoise killifish)
Lineage: Eukaryota; Metazoa; Chordata; Actinopteri; Cyprinodontiformes; Nothobranchiidae
Source: RefSeq, a predicted model, not a curated record